GCAUUUGUGACAUGCGCCCUAACCACUCAACUACCUGUGCGUACAGACUAACUUUCUUUUAAAGGAUUUGAGGUGACGGUGGACCUCCAUUGCGUAUCGUUGCCCCUCAUAUUUCGAAUCACACGCCAAAGCCGCAAACCUGAAUCAGUCAUGUGGUACAGCCGGCUCGCGAGGCUUCUAACGUCACUACAUACGUCAUCGACACAAGCCUCGACACAGAGAGGGGUCUGUCUGCAGCCUGCAAGAGAGGGGCGUAACCUGUAGUGGGCGUAACGUGUAGUGUGGGCGUAACGUGUAGUUGUGUAAAUCACGUUGAACCACGCGAGAUGUAGAAUGAGACCCGCCAAAAGCAAGAACAGAACAAGGAAAUACACAAGAGAUGUCUCCAAAACGAAAAAUGGCGAUCGUAUCCAGACUGUGACAGUCUACACCCUGGUUGAAAAGUACACAUUGACAGUGCCAGAGGCUGUGGCCAGGUUCAGAAGGGGCCCACAAUAUGAACCAUGUGAAUUGGAAAUGAUGCAAGCUGACUUGAUGAAACAUUUAUCAGAGGAUGCAACAGAGAAGCUACAAGCCUAUAAAGAUAGAAUGUGAAGAGCCCUCUCCUCUGAGGCAUUUCUUAGCCAGCUAUAAGGUGUAAUAUCUUCAAAGAUUUACUUUUCUUUUUCUUUUGACUCCUCCAAGGAAAUGUGUCACAGCCCUACGGGGGCCUCUAACCAUUCUCUUCUGUUUAACUCAAAACUGUAGUAAAUGGUGCAUUUGUUGGGGACUGUUUUCUGCGGUGGAGUAAUACACAGUGUGUGUUAGACUAGAGCAGUGCACACUUACAAACUGUAGAGUAUGUAUCAAAUGUGAGUAUGUGUGCAUACAUAUGUAUAAACUUAAAUUUUAUACAGGAUAUUGUAAUCGUUUUGUAAUGUAUAUGCAAUUGGUCUGUUUCAUUUCAUAGUUCCAUCAGCAUCAUUUGGCUCCAUAAAACUUGAGACAAAAUGCUGAAAGGCAUUACAGUGUGCAUCACUGCCUGAGUUGGAUGUAAAGAAAAAAAGAGCUAAUCCUUGCAUUUGAACAGCUAUGUUAUUAACUGCUUUAUAAGUGUCCAGUACAAGCAACCGUUCAUCAGGUACAGGUACAUGACAUUUAACUGUUGAUGCACUUUGUUAAAGUCAAAUCACACAACACUUAACAAGUAUUUCCUAACAGGAGAAGCAUUUAUAUUUACACAAGUCUAGGCACUACCAUGCUCGCAAGCAGAUGUUUGUCAGCAGACCAUGUUCUCUCUGUCAUGGCAGUCAAAGAACUAAUAAAAAGCUGAUUUAUAAACAUUUAAAUCACUUGUGCAUUGUGUGUGUGUCCAAGCCUGUGUGUGCGUGCCUGCAAUCACGAGUGUGCGCUUGUGUCUAGGAUGGGGGGCACAAAAAAAGUAUUUGCACCAGGGCCUAUCACCAUGAUGUUAAGCUACUGUGGCAGACAAUCUAAAUAAUGUUGCAUCAGAAAGUCGGAGUGUGGCCGAAGUGAAAGAAAGUGGUCAGACAUAAAAGUGGAAGCAAAAAAGCGCCUGUCAUCACACAGGCAGAGCGUCUGUGUCACGGGCGGGGGAACGGCCACCGGAGCUCACCCCGCUGGAUGAAAAACUGGUGGGGAUCAUUGGGGAAUCCCUCCUGAGUGACGUGGUGACGGAGGUGGAGGGGGACACCAAUGCCCCUCGUGCCCUCCAGUGGCUGUGUCCUUACAGAUGCAGUCCUGCAAAUGCAGAGAAACACCAUCACUGCAAUAAAUGAUGUUUCCAGGGAACUGCGGGAGAUAAAAAAUGUCUUUUCCGAGUUAAACACCACCAUGAAGGAAUUUAUUAAAUGAUUGUUUCGUAUUUGUUUCCAUAUCUGUAUUUUCACAAGCGACGCAUCACAUCCAAACGCUGGCGCACGGCACGUGUGAGAAUUAACCUGAUUGACUAACAGUCCUUCAGACUAAUAAUAUAAGAUAAUUAUAGUCUUUAUAUUUACAUAGCAAG
Sparus aurata (gilthead seabream) is the source of this 2008-nucleotide long non-coding RNA. The record is from Ensembl. NCBI's taxonomy places the organism in Eukaryota, Metazoa, Chordata, Actinopteri, Spariformes, Sparidae.